Molecule: ribosomal RNA, 1435 nt
Filed under: uncultured beta proteobacterium
Lineage: Bacteria; Pseudomonadati; Pseudomonadota; Betaproteobacteria
Description: partial 16S ribosomal RNA
Rfam family: Bacterial small subunit ribosomal RNA
Source: RNAcentral
GACGAACGCUGGCGGCGUGCUUAACACAUGCAAGUCGAGCGAUGAAACACCUUCGGGUGUGAAUUAGCGGCGAACGGGUGAGGAACACGUGAGAAAUCUGCCUUCAACACUGGGAUAACUCCGGGAAACCGGGGCUAAUACCGGAUAUGAAAUCUGCGGGCAUCCGCGGAUUUGGAAAGUUUUUCGGUUGAAGAUGAUCUCGCGGCCUAUCAGCUUGUUGGUGAGGUAAUGGCUCACCAAGGCGACGACGGGUAGCCGGCCUGAGAGGGCGACCGGCCACACUGGGACUGAGACACGGCCCAGACUCCUACGGGAGGCAGCAGUGGGGAAUAUUGGGCAAUGGAGGAAACUCUGACCCAGCGACGCCGCGUGCGGGAUGAAGGCCUUCGGGUUGUAAACCGCUUUCAGCAGGGAAGAAGCGAAAGUGACGGUACCUGCAGAAGAAGCACCGGCUAACUAUGUGCCAGCAGCCGCGGUAAUACAUAGGGUGCAAGCGUUGUCCGGAAUUAUUGGGCGUAAAGAGCUCGUAGGUGGUUCGUCACGUCGGAUGUGAAACUCUGGGGCUUAACCCCAGACCUGCAUUCGAUACGGGCGAGCUUGAGUAUGGUAGGGGAGUCUGGAAUUCCUGGUGUAGCGGUGGAAUGCGCCAGAAUAUUCAGGAGGACACCCAUGGCGAAGGCAGGACUCUGGCCAUUACUGACACUGAGGGAGCGAAAGCGUGGGGAGGCGACAGGAUUAGAUACCCUGGUAGUCCACGCCGUAACGGUGGGCACUAGUUGUGGGGACCUUCACGGUCUCUGCGACGCAGCUAACGCAUUAAGUGCCCCGCCUGGGGAGUACGAUCGCAAGAUUAAAACUCAAAGGAAUUGACGGGGACCCGCACAAGCGGUGGAUGAUGUGGAUUAAUUCGAUGCAACGCGAAAAACCUUACCUACCCUUGACAUGUCACUAACGAAGUAGAGAUACAUUAGGUGCUCGUAAGAGAAAGUGAACACAGGUGCUGCAUGGCUGUCGUCAGCUCGUGUCGUGAGAUGUUGGGUUAAGUCCCGCAACGAGCGCAACCCUUGUCUUUAGUUGCUACGCAAGAGCACUCUAAAGAGACUGCCGGUGACAAACCGGAGGAAGGUGGGGAUGACGUCAAGUCCUCAUGGCCCUUAUGGGUAGGGCUUCACACGUCAUACAAUGGUGCAUACAGAGGGUUGCCAACCCGCGAGGGGGAGCUAAUCUCAGAAAAUGCAUCGUAGUCCGGAUCGUAGUCUGCAACUCGACUACGUGAAGCUGGAAUCGCUAGUAAUCGCGGAUCAGAAUGUCGCGGUGAAUACGUUCCCGGGUCUUGUACACACCGCCCGUCAUACCAUGGGAGUGGGUUUUGCCAGAAGCCGUUAGCCUAACCGCAAGGGGGGCGACUGCCACGGCAGGGUUCAUGACUGGGGUA